UACGUAGGGUGCGAGCGUUGUCCGGAAUUACUGGGCGUAAAGAGCUCGUAGGUGGUUUGUCGCGUUGUUCGUGAAAUUCCCUGGCUUAACUGGGGGCGUGCGGGCGAUACGGGCAGACUGGAGUACUGCAGGGGAGACUGGAAUUCCUGGUGUAGCGGUGGAAUGCGCAGAUAUCAGGAGGAACACCGGUGGCGAAGGCGGUUCUCUGGGCAUUACCUGACGCUGAGGAGCGAAAGUGUGGGGAGCGAACAGG
RNAcentral lists this ribosomal RNA (253 nucleotides) under uncultured bacterium. Its description in RNAcentral is "partial 16S ribosomal RNA". It matches the Rfam family "Bacterial small subunit ribosomal RNA", at positions 524 to 776 of the family's 1533-position model. The record is from RNAcentral.